This 564-nucleotide long non-coding RNA is filed under the name Mus pahari (shrew mouse). RNAcentral's name for it is "lncRNA (MGP_PahariEiJ_G0005345.1)". Lineage: Eukaryota; Metazoa; Chordata; Mammalia; Rodentia; Muridae. The record is from RNAcentral.
AAUGGAGUCAUCCCUGGGCUGGUGGUCCUGGGUUUUAUAAGAAAGCAGACUGAGCAAGCCAGGGGAAGCCAGUCAGUAAGUAACAUCCUUCCAUGGCCUCUGCAUCAGCUCCUGCCUCCAGGUUCCACUCCUGCUUGAGUGCCUGUCUUGACUUCCUCCAGUGAUGUACUAUGAUCUGGAAAUGUGGACUGAGCUAUUGCUUCAAGGGACAUUGCACAGCUCUCUGGGGACAAGUGUCCUGCCCAACCCCUUCCCAGAGGUCCCAGCAUAAAUGUUCUGCUCCAGUUACGGAGAGGGAGCAGCAGCCAAUGUGUCAACAGGUCUGGAAAACCAGAGAGACAAAUAAAGGAAGACCUGAAGUCAGAUGGAGAUGGGGAGCGAGAGUUAUGAAAUUUUCAAGCUCAUUUUUAUCAUCUACAAACCUUCCCAUAAACUCUGUCCCAGGUGGCUGGGCAAACACUUGAGCCUUGAAAUGAAAUCUUGGAGUUAUUCUGUCACUCACACAGACUAAAUCCAUCCUGAAUUGUGUAAUAAACUUUAGCCUUUGGCAUUUUAUGAUUUCAA